Molecule: long non-coding RNA, 296 nt
Filed under: Pan troglodytes (chimpanzee)
Lineage: Eukaryota; Metazoa; Chordata; Mammalia; Primates; Hominidae
Description: long non-coding RNA NONPTRT000732
Source: RNAcentral
CCUGCUUGAAGGAACCUGCUUGAGGGAACCUGCUUGAGGGAACGUGUGUGAACCUACCUGCGUAUUGAUUAAUUGUUAUGUCCUUCAAGCAUGAAUUAAUUAACACCGUAUGGUUGUUAUGUGGGUUCGGAAUAUUCAAUAUAAGCUCAGCUUCUACAAUUGAUUUAGUAGGAAUCAAAUCGGAGUGCGUCUACAGAGGAUUCAGAGGGGACCAGGCCUUCCGCGAUGAAUUUUUCUUACAAGAAACCCUUGGAGGAAAAGUACCCUGCAAAAUAUCAAGAAGUACAAACAACACU